This 468-nucleotide ribosomal RNA is filed under the name uncultured bacterium. RNAcentral describes it as "partial 16S ribosomal RNA". It matches the Rfam family "Bacterial small subunit ribosomal RNA", at positions 28 to 507 of the family's 1533-position model. The record is from RNAcentral.
GACGAACGCUGGCGGCGUGCUUAACACAUGCAAGUCGAACGGAGAGGCCCUGCUUUUGUGGGGUGCUCGAGUGGCGAACGGGUGAGUAACACGUGAGUAACCUGCCCUUGACUUUGGGAUAACUUCAGGAAACUGGGGCUAAUACCGGAUAGGAGCUCCUGCUGCAUGGUGGGGGUUGGAAAGUUUCGGCGGUUGGGGAUGGACUCGCGGCUUAUCAGCUUGUUGGUGGGGUAGUGGCUUACCAAGGCUUUGACGGGUAGCCGGCCUGAGAGGGUGACCGGCGACAUUGGGCCUGAGAUACGGAGCAGACUCCUACGGGAGGCAGCAGUGGGGAAUAUUGCACAAUGGGCGGAAGCCUGAUGCAGCAGCGCCGCGUGCGGGAUGACGGCCUUCGGGUUGUAAACCGCUUUCGCCUGUGACGAAGCGUGAGUGACGGUAAUGGGUAAAGAAGCACCGGCUAACUACGUG